GACGAACGCUGGCGGCGUGCCUAAUACAUGCAAGUCGAACGCUUCUUUCCUCCCGAGUGCUUGCACUCAAUUGGAAAGAGGAGGGGCGGACGGGUGAGUAACACGUGGGUAACCUACCCAUCAGAGGGGGAUAACACUUGGAAACAGGUGCUAAUACCGCAUAACAGUUUAUGCCGCAUGGCAUAAGAGUGAAAGGCGCUUUCGUGUGUCGUUGAUGGAUGGACUCGCGGUGCAUUAGCUAGUUGGUAAGGUAACGGCUCACCAAGGCAACGAUGCAUAGCCGACCUGAGAGGGUGAUCGGCCACACUGGAACUGAGACACGGCCCAGACUCCUACGGGAGGCAGCAGUAGGGAAUCUUCGGCAAUGGACGAAAGUCUGACCGAGCAACGCCGCGUGAGUGAAGAAGGUUUUCGGAUCGUAAAACUCUGUUGUUAGAGAAGAACAAGGACGUUAGUAACUGAACGUCCCCUGACGGUAUCUAACCAGAAAGCCACGGCUAACUACGUG
RNAcentral lists this ribosomal RNA (508 nucleotides) under uncultured bacterium. Its description in RNAcentral is "partial 16S ribosomal RNA". It matches the Rfam family "Bacterial small subunit ribosomal RNA", at positions 28 to 507 of the family's 1533-position model. The record is from RNAcentral.